CAGUAGCCGCGGGAACACGGAGGGAGCUAGCGUUGUUCGGAAUCACUGGGCGUAAAGCGCACGUAGGCGGCUAUUCAAGUCAGGGGUGAAAGCCCGGGGCUCAACCCCGGAACUGCCUUUGAAACUAGAUAGCUUGAAUCUUGGAAAGGCGAGUGGAAUUCCGAGUGUAGAGGUGAAAUUCGUAGAUAUUCGGAAGAACACCAGUGGCGAAGGCGACUCGCUGGACAAGUAUUGACGCUGAGGUGCGAAAGCGUGGGGAGCAAACAGGAUUAGAUACCCCCGUAGUCCCUGUCUCUUAUAC
This 301-nucleotide ribosomal RNA is filed under the name uncultured bacterium. RNAcentral describes it as "partial 16S ribosomal RNA". It matches the Rfam family "Bacterial small subunit ribosomal RNA", at positions 509 to 807 of the family's 1533-position model. The record is from RNAcentral.